Long non-coding RNA from Girardinichthys multiradiatus, 2066 nucleotides. RefSeq lists it as uncharacterized. The transcript is spliced from 4 exons. The record is from RefSeq and is a predicted model, not a curated record. NCBI's taxonomy places the organism in Eukaryota, Metazoa, Chordata, Actinopteri, Cyprinodontiformes, Goodeidae.
UUCUUCAUUUUUUAUCUUUAAUAUUAUUUUACAUUCUUCCCUUCCAAUUUUCUUCCUAACUUCUCUCUCUUCUUCAGAACUGUUUUCUUCCAGCUCUCUUUUACUCCUUUGGCUGUCUAACAUCUUUCCUUCUUUACCUCUUCCUCGUCCUCUCCCUCUACUUACUGGCGUCCAUUCAUUAAAGUCCAUAUUAUCCUCCUGUGUAUCCAUUCUGAACCAUUCACAUACCAGUUUAACCCUUUUACCGCCACUUCCUAAACUAAAUAAUUUCUACCACUGUGGGGUUCUAAGUAGACCAGCAUUUUCAAACCGAAGUUUCGCGCUCCGCCGACCGGUUCGAGCAGCCUCAGCCUGUAUCGCCGAAAAACCUGGUGGAUCUUCCUAUCCCAUGAUUCAUUGCGCCUCGAAGUAGAUAGUUCAAACGGAAGUAGCAAAGGCUGGAGCAGAGAGAAAAGCUGUGAAUAAAAUUGGAUAUACUGCGCAUUCUGUUAAACAAACUGGACUUUUAUAGUGUUUUUAGACGAGAAUGUAGCUGUCUAAACCUAAAAUAUCUGAUCAGGUGAUCAAGAUGUUGCUAAAUUGGUCAAGUCAGCAGCCGCUUGCCUCGCCCGCUGUCAGCUGACCGGGCGGUUGAGGUUCCUAAACCCCCAGAGAACAGCUGACUCCAUAGGAGGAAGUUAAACAUAUAUAAUUCAGUCAGUUUAUAUGUAAUGUUAAUGUUUGGUUUAUUUAUUAUUGUCGGCCACAGCCACGCCGUACAGAACCAGUGAGAAACUCCCGCUCCCCCUCCCUGCCGUAAAACUGUCGUGAACGUCCAAACUACAGAGCUGCGGCAUGUAUAACAGUAAAAAUGCUCUGGAACAAUCUAACUACUGAACAUGCGACAUUAUUAUUAAUAUGCUCUACAAAUAAACUAAUUUAAACGUUGUUCCUAAAGUUAAUAUGUUAGUGUUUAAGUUGUUAAAAGCUUUACAAAUAAAUGAAACAAUUGGUAUUUGUUAUCAAUUUAUUUUAUCUACAGUGUUAAGAUUUUUAUAUCUAUGAACACAAAAUUAUUUUGAACAUUUUAAAUGGAUGAAUACUGCCAACGAUCAUUUCAGGCUCCAUUUGUUCGGCUUCACAGCUCUGUGCUUUCACGCUGACACGGUUGCUAGGCAACAGAAGUUACGCUGGGGUAAGGGCAAGAGAAACGCAGACUUAUGUAACACCGGCGGCACAAUUAGCUAAUCUGGCAUGUUUAGCUAAUAGCUACAGUCUUUGGUCGAGAGGCGGGAUCCACCCUGAACAGGUCACAUGUCCAUCAGAGGACAACACAGAGACACACAAGAAGGACAACCAUGCACACACACUGGCCUGAGAACAGCUUAGACUGACCAGUUGACCUAACAGACGUGUUUGGACUGUGGGAAGAAUCCGGAGUACUCAGGGAGAACCUACAUCUGUACAGGGAGAACAUGCAAGCUCCUCAUAGAAAGGACCCAGGCCGGGAUUCAAACCCAGGACUUUCUAGCUGCUUGGUAACAGUCCCACCAUCUGAUUGGAUCAAUUUAGAAACAGAUGUUUAUGUUAAUGUCAGCGGAAACAGUUCAGAAACAAAAACGAGACGACUGACGCUCAAAUCUGAUUAGUUCACAGCAAAUCAAACAGAAUGAAACCAUGGUUCAUGUUCAGAUGAAGAAAGGGAGCAGGAUGGACAAAGAAGCAACAAUAAAAAGGUACUCUCUAGAUUAUAGAGCAUUGCAACAUCUCUGCUGAUGACACACAGCUGCUCUGCAUCACGACAUGACUACAGUCCAGGACGGUUACUGAGUCAGAAUGUCCUCCAGCUUAAUGCAGAGACGACAUGCCAAUGUCACGGUUUGUGUAGCGGAGGACCCCGGACAAGCAGGCAGCUUGACGAAAUAAACUCUUCUGCAGAGGGUGCUGCAGACUCGCAUUUACAACAGGUGACUCAAGUUUCUGCAGAAACAUGCAGCUAUGGGGUGCUGAGCUGUGAAAUGAUGCAUGUUUGGGUCCGAACAGCUGACCUUCUUGACUUAAAGAAAACCUUUCACGAGAUCCACUGG